This 298-nucleotide unclassified non-coding RNA is filed under the name uncultured Crepidotus. RNAcentral's name for it is "sequence contains ITS2". The stretch from base 1 to 52 matches the Rfam family "5.8S ribosomal RNA", at positions 103 to 154 of the family's 154-position model. Lineage: Eukaryota; Fungi; Basidiomycota; Agaricomycetes; Agaricales; Crepidotaceae. The record is from RNAcentral.
AACGCAUCUUGCGCUCCUUGGUAUUCCGAGGAGCAUGCCUGUUUGAGUGUCAUUAAAUUCUCAACCAUACCAACUUUGUUGGUUUUGGCUUGGACGUGGGGGAUUGUUUGCAGGCUUUCACAAGUCAGCUCCCCUGAAAUGCAUUAGCGGUGCCCUUUGUGGUCGUUACAGCUCUUGGUGUGAUAACUAUCUACGCCAUCAGUUGACCAUGGUUGUGCUGCUUCUAACGGUCUUCUUCAAUGAGACAACACAUGACAAUUUUGGCCUCAAAUCAGGUAGGACUACCCGCUGAACUUAA